GACGAACGCUGGCGGCGUGCUUAACACAUGCAAGUCGAACGGUAAGGCCCUUCGGGGUACACGAGUGGCGAACGGGUGAGUAACACGUGGGUGAUCCGCCCUGCACUUCGGGAUAAGCCUGGGAAACUGGGUCUAAUACCGGAUAGGACCCUGGGAUGCAUGUCCUGGGGUGGAAAGCUUUUGCGGUGUGGGAUGGGCCCGCGGCCUAUCAGCUUGUUGGUGGGGUGAUGGCCUACCAAGGCGACGACGGGUAGCCGGCCUGAGAGGGUGACCGGCCACAAUGGGACUGAGAUACGGCCCAGACUCCUACGGGAGGCAGCAGUGGGGAAUAUUGCACAAUGGGCGCAAGCCUGAUGCAGCGACGCCGCGUGAGGGAUGACGGCCUUCGGGUUGUAAACCUCUUUCAGCACCGACGAAGCGCAAGUGACGGUAGGUGCAGAAGAAGGACCGGCCAACUACGUGCCAGCAGCCGCCGUAA
RNAcentral lists this ribosomal RNA (478 nucleotides) under uncultured bacterium. Its description in RNAcentral is "partial 16S ribosomal RNA". It matches the Rfam family "Bacterial small subunit ribosomal RNA", at positions 28 to 523 of the family's 1533-position model. The record is from RNAcentral.